CUAACAUCUAACCAUAGGUCCAGUACACUGUAGACCUAACAUCUAACCAUAGGUUCAGUACACUGUAGACCUAACAUCUAACCAUAGGUCCAGUACACUGUAAACCUAACAUCUAACCAUAGGUUCAGUACACUGUAGACCUAACAUCUAACCAUCCAGUACACUGUAGACCUAACAUCUAACCAUAGGUUCAGUACACUGUAGGCCUAACAUCUAACCAUAGGUUCAGUACACUGUAGACCUAACAUCUAACCAUCCAGUACACUGUAGACCUAACAUCUAACCAUCCAGUACACUGUAGGCCUAACAUCUAACCAUAUGUCCAGUACACUGUAGGCCUAACAUCUAACCAUAGGUUCAGUACAUUGUAGGCCUAACAUCUAACCAUAGGUUCAGUACACUGUAGGCCUAACAUCUAACCAUCCAGUACACUGUAGGCCUAACAUCUAACCAUAGGUUCAGUACACUGUAGGCCUAACAUCUAACCAUCCAGUACACUGUAGGCCUAACAUCUAACCAUAGGUUCAGUACACUGUAGGCCUAACAUCUAACCAUCCAGUACACUCGGUUGUCCCAGGACAUAUUCAAAGGCAAAGAUAUUCUAAGAACUGGAUACAAAGACUGCACUGCAUCAUUCUUCCUGAAUUCACAACACUGUG
Molecule: long non-coding RNA, 659 nt
Organism: Oncorhynchus tshawytscha (Chinook salmon)
Lineage: Eukaryota; Metazoa; Chordata; Actinopteri; Salmoniformes; Salmonidae
Source: Ensembl